Molecule: non-coding RNA, 751 nt
Organism: Myodes glareolus (Bank vole)
Lineage: Eukaryota; Metazoa; Chordata; Mammalia; Rodentia; Cricetidae
Source: RefSeq, a predicted model, not a curated record
UCUGACAAGAAGCUCUGAGGUGACUCUUAGGAUAUCAUGCAGAAGCUGAGAGGCAGACAGCGACUCAGUCUCAUUUUUUGCGGAGAAUUUUAUCCAGUGAUCCCUCCCUGCUUCCGAGCCUCCACGGUGGACUUUGCAACCUUGGCAUCAAGAGAAUAUGCACCGUGUGCUGUCUCAACAGCUGGAAUAGGAUCACAGUUGCCCAAGAAGGUGGGUUCAAGCUAUCCUAACAACCGACUUAAACCAGUGGGGGCUCCCAGAGGACUUCUUGGGACUGCCAGUUUCUGCUUGGGAUGAGGACACUCCUCCUGCUUAGCAUCCCAGAGGAGCAAGGAACAGCUGGCCUUCUUUGAACCCGAGGGCCGGGCUGCAUGUGGGCCACUCGGGGAAACCUACGCACACCUUGCGGAGAGUGACUGGACCCAGAACCCCUGGCCUUCAACUUCCCUGGAGGAUGGCAGGAUGGCACCCCCUUCUCAUUGAAUGACUCUGCCGGAUAGUCCUUGGUGGCUUUCCACAGGCGGCAACUGGGACGGAAAGGGCCGGGAUAGGGGAGUUCCUGUAGUUAAAGAUGAGGUUCUGAAUGCUGGGGGUGGGGCCACAGGAGCAGAGUGAGGGCUGAUGGUAUGACCAACAGAGAGAAGGGGAUGGGAUGAUGUGGGAGCCAAAGAAGCCAUGGCUGUGCUGCGGAACCAUCCAGGCAUGGCCUGGCUGUGGAAGAAUUAACUCAUAAAUAAAUGGCAGUCUCAGA